UGAGUAACACGUAUCCAACCUGCCGUCUACUCUUGGACAGCCUUCUGAAAGGAAGAUUAAUACAAGAUGGCAUCAUGAGUCCGCAUGUUCACAUGAUUAAAGGUAUUCCGGUAGACGAUGGGGAUGCGUUCCAUUAGAUAGUAGGCGGAGUAACGGCCCACCUAGUCUUCGAUGGAUAGGGGUUCUGAGAGGAAGGUCCCCCACAUUGGAACUGAGACACGGUCCAA
This 227-nucleotide ribosomal RNA is filed under the name uncultured bacterium. Its description in RNAcentral is "partial 16S ribosomal RNA". It matches the Rfam family "Bacterial small subunit ribosomal RNA", at positions 107 to 334 of the family's 1533-position model. The record is from RNAcentral.